Molecule: long non-coding RNA, 252 nt
Filed under: Gossypium raimondii (Peruvian cotton)
Lineage: Eukaryota; Viridiplantae; Streptophyta; Magnoliopsida; Malvales; Malvaceae
Description: long non-coding RNA (GRAI_LNC008896)
Source: RNAcentral
UGCUAUCUUUAGUUGUGGCCAUCCAUUGUUUACCCAAAGCAACUAGCUCCCUCUUUCGUUUUCUUCUAAUUUCCACCACCACCAGUGAAAGUUUUCCCUUCUCCGCUAUCACCUUUGCCUCUAUCUCCACUUUUUCCUGCAAGCACCAUUAAAACUUACCCUAUCUUCAAACCAAAACCCAGAAAAUGAAAAAGAAAGGGAUUUUAAGAUUUUAUCAAAUACGAAGAUUAUCUUCAAUCCUGGCUGUUGAAU